This 519-nucleotide ribosomal RNA is filed under the name uncultured delta proteobacterium. RNAcentral's name for it is "bacterial SSU rRNA". It matches the Rfam family "Bacterial small subunit ribosomal RNA", at positions 29 to 523 of the family's 1533-position model. Lineage: Bacteria; Deltaproteobacteria. The record is from RNAcentral.
AGCGAACGUUAGCGGCGGGCCUAACACAUGCAAGUCGCACGAGAAAAGGGCUUUCGGCCCCCAGUAAAGUGGCGGACGGGUGAGUAACACGUGGGUAAUCUACCUUUUUGUGGGGGAUAACAGUCCGAAAGGAUUGCUAAUACCGCAUACGUCACGAAUCUCUUCGGAGGAUCGUGGGAAAGCCGGCCUCUCCAUGGAAGCUGGCGCAGAAAGAGGAGCCCGCGGCCCAUCAGCUAGUUGGUAGGGUAAUGGCCUACCAAGGCUAAGACGGGUAGCUGGUCUGAGAGGAUGAUCAGCCACACUGGGACUGAGACACGGCCCAGACUCCUACGGGAGGCAGCAGUGGGGAAUAUUUGGGCAAUGGGCGCAAGCCUGACCCAGCCACGCCGCGUGAGUGAUGAAGGCCUUCGGGUCGUAAAGCUCUGUGGGGAGGGACGAAAAAACGUUGGCUAAUAUCCAACGGACUGACGGUACCUCCUUAGCAAGCACCGGCUAACUCCGUGCCAGCAGCCGCGGUAA